Molecule: ribosomal RNA, 395 nt
Filed under: Stramenopiles sp. MAST-6
Lineage: Eukaryota
Description: partial small subunit ribosomal RNA
Rfam family: Eukaryotic small subunit ribosomal RNA
Source: RNAcentral
AUUCCAGCUCCAAUAGCGUAUAUUAAAGUUGUUGCAGUUAAAAAGCUCGUAGUUGGAUUUCUGGCGGGAGCGGCCUGUCCUGCCCUUUGCGGGGUUGAGCACAAGCGCUGCAUCCGGCCAUCCUUGUGGAGAGCGUUUCUGGCAUUCAGUUGUCGGACUCGGGAUCCGCAUCGUUUACUGUGAAAAAAUUAGAGUGUUUAAAGCAGGCAUUUGCUUGAAUACAUUAGCAUGGAAUAAUAAGAUAGGACUUAGUCGUUAUUUUGUUGGUCUUGCACGUCUAGGUAAUGAUUAAUAGGGAUAGUUGGGGGUAUUCAUAUUUAAUUGUCAGAGGUGAAAUUCUUGGAUUUAUGAAAGAUGAACUUAUGCGAAAGCAUUUACCAUGGAUGUUUUCAUCA